GUCCACGCCGUAAACGAUGGGUACUAGGCGCCGGGGGGAGCGACCCCUUCGGUGCCGUCGCUAACGCAAUAAGUACCCCGCCUGGGGAGUACGGCCGCAAGGCUGAAACUCAAAGGAAUUGACGGGGGCCCGCACAAGCGGUGGAGCAUGUGGUUUAAUUCGAAGCAACGCGAAGAACCUUACCUGGGCUUGACAUGCACGGGAAAGCUGGUGGAAACAUCGGCCCCUCUUCGGAGUCCGUGCACAGGUGCUGCAUGGCUGUCGU
Molecule: ribosomal RNA, 265 nt
Filed under: uncultured bacterium
Lineage: Bacteria
Description: partial 16S ribosomal RNA
Rfam family: Bacterial small subunit ribosomal RNA
Source: RNAcentral